UUUCCCAUCGUGCUGAGGCGGGUGGCAUGGCGGAGAAGGAUGACACCGGAGUUUGACGAAGAGGUGGUUUUUGAGACAUUAAAACUACCACUACUAUGGAAGUACCACUACUAGAUGGAAGUUUGACCUGGACAUGGUGGCUCACACUUGUAAUCCCAGCACUUUGAGAGGCCAAGGCAGCAGAGCCCUUGCUAGAAGCCAGUGGCAUGCUCUUGAACUUCCCAGCCUGCAGAACUGUGAGCUAAAAUUCUCCACUUUACCAAUACUUACAGGAUCUGGGACACACAGACUUUGAAAUAUGUUCUUCUUUGUCACCAAAAACAGAAAAAUGCACAACAGAGGGACAACAAAAGCCUCCUACAAGAGUCCUACCAAAAUACCUGGGAUAUAGUAAUCACUCAAUGAAUAUAAACUGCACUUACUGGCAUGCUCAAGGAAUGGGCUAUUAAGCAAGGUAUCCUGUUAAAAGUGGCUGAAACCAUCAAAAGUUGGAUUUUUUUUUCUCAGUGCAAUAAGAAAGAUGACUUACUUCACAAGUUG
This 540-nucleotide small RNA is filed under the name Pan troglodytes (chimpanzee). RNAcentral describes it as "processed transcript". The record is from RNAcentral. Lineage: Eukaryota; Metazoa; Chordata; Mammalia; Primates; Hominidae.